Molecule: ribosomal RNA, 583 nt
Filed under: uncultured bacterium
Lineage: Bacteria
Description: bacterial SSU rRNA
Rfam family: Bacterial small subunit ribosomal RNA
Source: RNAcentral
ACGGGUGCGGAACACGUACGCAACCUUCCCAAAACUGGUGAAUAGCCUUUCGAAAGAGAGAUUAAUACACCGUAACUUAAUGAAGUGGCAUCACUUUAUUAAUAUAGCUCCGGCGGUUUUGGAUGGGCGUGCGCCUGAUUAGGUAGUUGGCGGGGUAAUGGCCCACCAAGCCUACGAUCAGUAACUGGUGUGAGAGCACGACCAGUCACACGGGCACUGAGACACGGGCCCGACUCCUACGGGAGGCAGCAGUAAGGAAUAUUGGUCAAUGGACGCAAGUCUGAACCAGCCAUGCCGCGUGGAGGAUGAAGGUCCUCUGGAUUGUAAACUUCUUUUAUCGGAGAAGAAACCCCAGUUUUCUUGCUGGGUUGACGGUACCCGAUGAAUAAGCACCGGCUAACUCCGUGCCAGCAGCCGCGGUAAUACGGAGGGUGCAAGCGUUAUCCGGAUUCACUGGGUUUAAAGGGUGCGUAGGUGGGCUAGUAAGUCCGUGGUGAAAUCCCCGAGCUUAACUCGGGAACUGCCGUGGAUACUAUUAGUCUUGAAUAUCGUGGAGGUAAGCGGAAUAUGUCAUGUAGCGGUG